GGACGAACGCUGGCGGCAUGCCUAACACAUGCAAGUCGAACGGAGUAAUGACUUCGGUUAUUACUUAGUGGCGAACGGGUGAGUAACACGUGAAUAAUCUGCCCUGUACGAUGGGAUAACAGCUGGAAACGGCUGCUAAUACCGUAUAUGACCACGCCGAGGCAUCUCGGAGGGGUGAAAGCGCUUAAGCGGUACAGGAUGAGUUCGCGUCCAAUUAGCUAGUUGGUGAGGUAACGGCCCACCAAGGCGACGAUUGGUAGCCGACCUGAGAGGGUGAUCGGCCACACUGGAACUGAGACACGGUCCAGACUCCUACGGGAGGCAGCAGUGGGGAAUAUUGGGCAAUGGAGGAAACUUCCUUACCCAGCAAUGCCGCGUGAGUGAUGAAGGUCUUCGGAUUGUAAAGCUCUUUGAUUGGGGACGAAUAAAUGACGGUACCCAAGGAACAAGCCCCGGCUAACUAUGUGCCAGCCGCCGC
Molecule: ribosomal RNA, 478 nt
Filed under: uncultured bacterium
Lineage: Bacteria
Description: bacterial SSU rRNA
Rfam family: Bacterial small subunit ribosomal RNA
Source: RNAcentral